Cheilinus undulatus (humphead wrasse) is the source of this 472-nucleotide long non-coding RNA. RefSeq lists it as uncharacterized. The record is from RefSeq and is a predicted model, not a curated record. The transcript is spliced from 4 exons. Lineage: Eukaryota; Metazoa; Chordata; Actinopteri; Labriformes; Labridae.
ACACUGAACAACAAACCAUCAGACACAUAGUCACUGUAGGUUGCUCUGUUCUUACUGACUUCACCACUUCUUGUCUUCAAAGAUGAAGAUGUUCAGCGUUGCAGUGGCCGUCAUGAUCGUCCUCAUUUGCUCUGAGAGGAGUUCUGCUGUCCCCGUGGAUCAAGUGCCUGCAGCCAGUGAUGAUCUGAUUCCUGUAAAUCAAGAGAUUCCUGCUGAAUCAGAGGAGAUGUCAGUGGUUAACAGGAUGAAGCGUAGUUGUUGGAGUUGCUGUUUUGAAACUUCUCAAGGCACAGUCUGCUCAAAAUGCUGCCACUUCUGAUCCCUGUCUCUCUGGAUGGAUGGGAAUUCCUCUAUGCAGAAGUGUGACAGUCCACUGAGAUGCUACGGCUGCCGUACAUAUUCUAGAGAUGUAACCACGUGUAUUACUGUAUGUCCUGUGAUUUAUAGCAUAAAAUUAAGUUUUCUGAUAUGA